This 95-nucleotide microRNA precursor is filed under the name Paramuricea clavata. Lineage: Eukaryota; Metazoa; Cnidaria; Anthozoa; Malacalcyonacea; Plexauridae. The record is from RNAcentral.
AUGCCCAGCAUAAACCACGUAAAAGAGCCAUAACAAAAAUAUAAUUUAAAAUUAUAUUUUUGUUAUGGCUCUUUUACGUGUUUUAUGCUGGGCAU